GACGAACGCUGGCGGCGUGCUUAACACAUGCAAGUCGAACGGAAAGGCCCUGCUUUUGUGGGGUGCUCGAGUGGCGAACGGGUGAGUAACACGUGAGUAACCUGCCCUUGACUUUGGGAUAACUUCAGGAAACUGGGGCUAAUACCGGAUAGGAGCUCCUGCUGCAUGGUGGGGGUUGGAAAGUUUCGGCGGUUGGGGAUGGACUCGCGGCUUAUCAGCUUGUUGGUGGGGUAGUGGCUUACCAAGGCUUUGACGGGUAGCCGGCCUGAGAGGGUGACCGGCAACAUUGGGACUGAGAUACGGCCCAGACUACUAAGGGAGGCAGCAGUGGGGAAUAUUGCACAAUGGGCGGAAGCCUGAUGCAGCAACGCCGCGUGCGGGAUGACGGCCUUCGGGUUGUAAACCGCUUUCGCCUGUGACGAAGCGUGAGUGACGGUAAUGGGUAAAGAAGCACCGGCUAACUACGUG
RNAcentral lists this ribosomal RNA (468 nucleotides) under uncultured bacterium. RNAcentral's name for it is "partial 16S ribosomal RNA". It matches the Rfam family "Bacterial small subunit ribosomal RNA", at positions 28 to 507 of the family's 1533-position model. The record is from RNAcentral.